CGAAUUUCAUUUAUAACCUAUAUACUUUCAAAUCAUGCAAUAAACUUCCAAGUCUUAUAAAGAAUAUUUUUUUGUUAUGGCUCAAGAAACUGGGAAAAUCAACAAACAACAAGAAACCACGCAUAAAGACUUGACAACACAUGCAUUGACUCCACUAACACCAAUUAAACUAAAAAUUGAUAAAAUCCAAAUAACCAUCAAAUAAACUAGAAAAGAAAUAAAUCUAACUAAAAAGAAAUAAAAAGAAAGUAGUAAAGU
RNAcentral lists this long non-coding RNA (258 nucleotides) under Lathyrus oleraceus (garden pea). Its description in RNAcentral is "Pisum sativum (pea) long non-coding RNA (PSAT_LNC022809)". Lineage: Eukaryota; Viridiplantae; Streptophyta; Magnoliopsida; Fabales; Fabaceae. The record is from RNAcentral.